UAUAUGCAGAGCUCUGAUGAACUGAGAAAGAGAAAAUGUUCAUAUUUUGUUAAUAUUAUAUGCUUAUUUUUCAAUUUGGAAGUAUUUCUGCUUCGCGCGUAUGACCUGAGGAGACCUUGCAAUAUGAUACGGCAGUACAGGAUUGUAUGAUAAGGUCACACAGUUAACCCAGUUCCUAGUAGGACUAUCUGUAGCAUGGUUCCGUUUGACCUGUAAUUUCCACAGUGUCUGCGUCAAGUGCCUUUCGGUAUGUAUAUAAAAAGCCUGUGAUGUCAACGAGACAGAGUUCAACAUGGCAGGAAGGCAUACUACAAAGCGAAAUCGGGCAGUUACCGAGGAAGAGAUUGAUGAUAUUCUCUUUGCUGAUAUUUGCACGAAUCUAGAGUCUGAGGACAGUUCAAACUUAUCCUCUAACGAUUCAGAGAGGGACGAAGAAUUUCUUCAGCGAAGAGUAACGAAGCGGAGGUAGCAACUCAACCCAGAAGUUAUUCCUGAAAGCAAUGCCGUUUCUGAAGAACAAAAUGAUACUGAGAAUGGCCCUCAGAGAUUUGAAGGAAACAGUACUUCAUGGGAGUGGCAGUCCAUGCCGUUCAUCCCAUACCGCCACGAUUUCGAUGAGGCAACUUCAGGCGUGAAUCCAAACUUAGGACUGAGCGCUGCCCCACAAGAGAUCGAUUUGUUUUGCCAUUUUUUUGAUGAGCCAUUGAUUUCUUAUCUCUGCAAUGAGACAAAUUGAUUCCAUGAGCAGACAAAAUAAAAUGUGGCCCUAAUGCCCCGCUCUAGACUACGGCAGUGGACUCCAGUCGGUUUCAAGGAGUUUUAUCUUUUCCUGCCUCUGAUGCUUCUUACUCCACAUGUAAAGAAAAAUGAGUUGCCCUUAUACUGGACAUAAGAUCCUUUGAUACACACCACCACUUUCGGCCACAUCAUGUAGCACAGGCAUUUUGUUUUGUUACUGCAUAACCUUCACUUUGUAGACAACAACAGCACACAGACGGAUCUUGAUCGACUGAAAAGAUUAGACCGGUACUUUCGAUGAUAACAAACAAGUUCAUUUUUUAUCCGUUUCAAAAUGUAGUGAUAGAUGAGAGCCUCAUGUUAUGGAGGGGAAGGCUGAGAUUCAGGCAGUACAUACCUUCAAAGCGCCAUAGGUAUGGCAUCAAGGCAGUUUGUUUUGUGCGACUGCCAAACUGGUUAUAUCCUUGAUAUCAUUCCUUAUACCGGAAAGGAUACUGCAAUGGAUAGACAUGCUGAUGUAGGAGUAUCCGGUUCAUUUGUUUUGACAAUGUUGGGUCCAUUCUAGGGACAAGGCCAUAUAGUUUACCUUGACAAUUGGUACUCAAGUCCCCUACUAUUUAGUUUUACUACAUUCAUUGUUCACUGACAGGGAAAAAAACAGGUCUGAGAGUGUUUUCAUUGACUUUGGUAUGUCAGCUGUUGGAGAAAUAUGGCCCCUCACAGCCCCCUCUUGCACCUCUGGUUCUUCCCGUCGAAGGUAGGCUCCAACGUGGCCGUCAUUACCCAGUGAAUGUGCCAUCGACAGAGAAAAAGAAGAACGCACAGAGGAUCUGUCAUGUGUGUGCCCACACUCAGUUGAAACAAAUGAAGUCCUACACCAGGUACAUGUGUAAGGAAUGUAAUGGCCCCUUUGUUUUUUGGGGUGCUAUGAAGUGUACCAUGAGAAAGUUGUGUUCUAGAUGUAGAAAUGUAGAUAUGUAGAGAUGUAGAGAUGUAGAAAAUAAAACUGCUGUAUAGAA
Molecule: long non-coding RNA, 1757 nt
Organism: Penaeus chinensis
Lineage: Eukaryota; Metazoa; Arthropoda; Malacostraca; Decapoda; Penaeidae
Exons: 2
Source: RefSeq, a predicted model, not a curated record